UACGUAGGGUGCGAGCGUUAAUCGGAAUUACUGGGCGUAAAGCGUGCGCAGGCGGUUUUGUAAGACAGAUGUGAAAGCCCCGGGCUUAACCUGGGAACUGCGUUUGAAACUGGGAGACUUGAGUGUGGCAGAGGGGGGUGGAAUUCCACGUGUAGCAGUGAAAUGCGUAGAUAUGUGGAGGAACACCGAUGGCGAAGGCAGCCCCCUGGGCCUGCACUGACGCUCAUGCACGAAAGCGUGGGGAGCAAACAGG
Molecule: ribosomal RNA, 253 nt
Filed under: uncultured bacterium
Lineage: Bacteria
Description: partial 16S ribosomal RNA
Rfam family: Bacterial small subunit ribosomal RNA
Source: RNAcentral